AAAUUGAAGAGUUUGAUCAUGGCUCAGAUUGAACGCUGGCGGCAGGCCUAACACAUGCAAGUCGAACGGUAACAGGAAGAAGCUUGCUUCUUUGCUGACGAGUGGCGGACGGGUGAGUAAUGUCUGGGAAACUGCCUGAUGGAGGGGGAUAACUACUGGAAACGGUAGCUAAUACCGCAUAACGUCGCAAGACCAAAGAGGGGGGACCUUCGGGCCUCUUGCCAUCGGAUGUGCCCAGAUGGGAUUAGCUAGUAGGUGGGGUAACGGCUCACCUAGGCGACGAUCC
This 286-nucleotide ribosomal RNA is filed under the name Escherichia coli. RNAcentral's name for it is "partial 16S ribosomal RNA". It matches the Rfam family "Bacterial small subunit ribosomal RNA", at positions 1 to 282 of the family's 1533-position model. The record is from RNAcentral. Lineage: Bacteria; Pseudomonadati; Pseudomonadota; Gammaproteobacteria; Enterobacterales; Enterobacteriaceae.